This 497-nucleotide ribosomal RNA is filed under the name uncultured bacterium. RNAcentral's name for it is "partial 16S ribosomal RNA". It matches the Rfam family "Bacterial small subunit ribosomal RNA", at positions 28 to 507 of the family's 1533-position model. The record is from RNAcentral.
GAUGAACGCUGGCGGCGUGCCUAAUACAUGCAAGUCGAGCGAACGGACGAGAAGCUUGCUUCUCUGAUGUUAGCGGCGGACGGGUGAGUAACACGUGGAUAACCUACCUAUAAGACUGGGAUAACUUCGGGAAACCGGAGCUAAUACCGGAUAAUAUUUUGAACCGCAUGGUUCAAAAGUGAAAGACGGUCUUGCUGUCACUUAUAGAUGGAUCCGCGCUGCAUUAGCUAGUUGGUAAGGUAACGGCUUACCACGGCAACGAUGCAUAGCCGACCUGAGAGGGUGAUCGGCCACACUGGAACUGGGACACGGUCCAGACUCCUGCGAGAGGCAGCAGUAGGGAAUCUGCCGCAAUGGGCGAAAGCCUGACGGAGCAACGCCGCGUGAGUUAUAGAGGUCUUCGGAUCGUAAAACUCUGUUAUUAGGGAAGAACAUAUGUGUAAGUAACUGUGCACAUCGUGACGGUACCUAAUCAGAAAGCCACGGCUAACUACGUG